UACGUAGGGGGCUAGCGUUGCCCGGAAUCAUUGGGCGUAAAGCGCGUGUAGGCGGCUCGAUAAGUCUGCUGUGAAAGUCCAGGGCUCAACCCUGGGAUGCCGGUGGAUACUGUCGAGCUCGAGUCCGGAAGAGGCGAGUGGAAUUCCUGGUGUAGCGGUGAAAUGCGCAGAUAUCAGGAGGAACACCAAUGGCGAAGGCAGCUCGCUGGGACGGUACUGACGCUGAGACGCGAAAGCGUGGGGAGCAAACAGG
Molecule: ribosomal RNA, 253 nt
Filed under: uncultured bacterium
Lineage: Bacteria
Description: partial 16S ribosomal RNA
Rfam family: Bacterial small subunit ribosomal RNA
Source: RNAcentral